Molecule: long non-coding RNA, 450 nt
Filed under: Homo sapiens (human)
Lineage: Eukaryota; Metazoa; Chordata; Mammalia; Primates; Hominidae
Description: HSALNT0118711
Source: RNAcentral
UUCAUCUUGUAAGAAGUCUAGCUACCCUUAAUUCAGCAUGCUGGAGAGACCCUGUGGAGAGGGCUCACAGGAAUAGAUGUCUCAGGAGCCUCAGCUGUGACAGUUCCCAGACAUGAGAUGAUGAACCUCAAGUACCACCCCAGACAACAAGGCUGCUUCAUCAGGACACAAACCUGCCUGUACCAGGACCUCUGACCUGUGUGCAGCAGAGACACUGAGGAUACCAUUGGCAUCAAUGUCAAAAGUGACUUCAAUCUGAGGAACAGAAAGAGAAUUAUGGAACUGAGAAGAAUUGACAGAGAUCCUGUGGUGUAGCCCUCUGUAUCGAGGGCUUAUUUGCUUCAUGAGAGCUACGUUAUAUAAAAAACAAAAAUGAGACGGGAAAUACAACUUUGGCCAAAUGACAUUUUCACAUAUUUUAGAAUACUAUAAAAAGAAGGAAAAAAAGAA